RNAcentral lists this ribosomal RNA (406 nucleotides) under uncultured fungus. Its description in RNAcentral is "eukaryotic LSU rRNA". The stretch from base 119 to 272 matches the Rfam family "5.8S ribosomal RNA". The record is from RNAcentral. Lineage: Eukaryota; Fungi.
GUAUGUAUACCUUUGUUGCUUUGGCAGGCCGCUAGGUCCUGGCUCCGGCUAGGGAGUGCCUGCCAGAGGACCCUAAAACCUGAAUGUUAGUGUCGUCUGAGUACUAUACAAUAGUUAAAACUUUCAACAACGGAUCUCUUGGUUCUGGCAUCGAUGAAGAACGCAGCGAAAUGCGAUAAGUAAUGUGAAUUGCAGAAUUCAGUGAAUCAUCGAAUCUUUGAACGCACAUUGCGCCCCUUGGUAUUCCGGGGGGCAUGCCUGUUCGAGCGUCAUUACAACCCUCAAGCUCUGCUUGGUGUUGGGCGUCACCAGCCUUGGUGUGCCCUAAAAUCAGUGGCGGCGCCGUCUGGCUCUAAGCGUAGUACAUACUCUCGCUAUGGGACGCCUGGCGGAAUGCUUGCCAGCA